GGAUCAAGGAUGAGAACUUACCUUGUUAAAGACAGCUGAUGACAUAAAUAUCAUGCUCAGUAGGAUACAACAUAAUCC
Molecule: small nucleolar RNA, 78 nt
Organism: Choloepus hoffmanni (Hoffmann's two-fingered sloth)
Lineage: Eukaryota; Metazoa; Chordata; Mammalia; Pilosa; Megalonychidae
Gene: SNORD115
Rfam family: Small nucleolar RNA SNORD115
About the family: HBII-52 is a member of the C/D class of snoRNAs, which contain the C (UGAUGA) and D (CUGA) box motifs. HBII-52 is encoded in a tandemly repeated array with another C/D snoRNA, HBII-85, in the Prader-Willi syndrome (PWS) region of chromosome 15. HBII-52 is exclusively expressed in the brain but is absent in PWS patients.
Source: Ensembl